Molecule: ribosomal RNA, 446 nt
Filed under: uncultured bacterium
Lineage: Bacteria
Description: bacterial SSU rRNA
Rfam family: Bacterial small subunit ribosomal RNA
Source: RNAcentral
GCCAGACUCCUACGGGAGGCAGCAGUGGGGAAUAUUGCACAAUGGGGGAAACCCUGAUGCAGCGACGCCGCGUGAGUGAAGAAGUAUUUCGGUACGUAAAGCUCUAUCAGCAGGGAAGAAAAUGACGGUACCUGAUUAAGAAGCCCCGGCUAACUACGUGCCAGCAGCCGCGGUAAUACGUAGGGGGCAAGCGUUAUCCGGAUUUACUGGGUGUAAAGGGGGCGCAGACGGCAGCGCAAGCCAGGAGUGAAAGCCCGGGGCCCAACCCCGGGACUGCUCUUGGAACUGCGCGGCUGGAGUGCAGGAGGGGCAGGCGGAAUUCCUGGUGUAGCGGUGAAAUGCGUAGAUAUCAGGAGGAACACCGGCGGCGAAGGCGGCCUGCUGGACUGCAACUGACGUUGAGGCCCGAAAGCGUGGGGAGCAAACAGGAUUAGAUACCCCUGUAA